Molecule: ribosomal RNA, 1383 nt
Filed under: Triticum aestivum (bread wheat)
Lineage: Eukaryota; Viridiplantae; Streptophyta; Magnoliopsida; Poales; Poaceae
Description: partial small subunit ribosomal RNA
Source: RNAcentral
AUGGAAGCCCCGGUGACCAUUCUGAAUCUGUUUGGCGAAGCAACGGGCCUGAAGAUCAAUCGGCAGAAGUCCACAGUUACACCAAUUAGAUGUGACAACAUAGAUACGCAGCAAGUUUUGCAAUGUUUUGGAGGAAUUGCCUCCACUUUUCCGCUCAAAUACUUGGGGCUCCCUCUCAUACUGUCAAGAACCAGGCUGGUGCACCUCCAGUUCGUGCUUGAUAGGAUCAGAGCAAGAUUGGCUGGCUGGAAGGGCAAGCUGCUGAGCAUAGCGGGGCGACGCGUGCUGGUCAGGGCGGUGCUCACUGCCAUCCCAACGUUUGCCAUGACCGUGCUACGUAUGCCUAAGAAGUUUUUCAAGGAAAUUGACAAAGUGCGAUGUCGCUUUCUCUAGGCGCACGACGAAGAGCUGUCAGGAGGCAAAUGCAAAGUGAAUUGGGCCAAGGUUUGCUCCCCGCUAGACAGAGGAGGGCUUGGUGUUCUGGACAUAGAGCGCUUUGGCCGCGUGUUGCGUCAAAGAUGGCUGUGGUUGGCCUGGAAACACCCGGAACGGCCCUGGGUGGGAAUGGAGGUGCCAUGUUCGGAGGCAGACAAGGAUUUCUUCAGCGCAGCAACUUCUGUCACUAUCGGCAACGGACAUACCGCAAGAUUCUGGACCUGCUCCUGGCUGGGGGAAGGCACUCUCAAACUGUUGUUCCCAGACCUGUACAAGCACUCGAGGAGGAAGGCCAGGACAGUCGCCGAUGCCCUGCGAGAUGAUCGCUGGCUACUUGAUCUCGCACACGGACUGAUGGAUCAAUUGGUGCAUGAUUGUGUGAUGCUAGCUAGGCUGCUGCGUUCGGCGGAGAUCAUCAUAAACCCGCAGGCCAGCGACAGCAUCAGGUGGAACUUGGAGGCCAGUGGCUGCUACACCUCCUCAUCUGCCUACACGGCGCAGUUCCAAGCAAAUCACUACUCCGUUUUUAGGCGCAUCAUAUGGAAGACUUGGGCACCCGGAAAGCUUAAGAUGUUCUUCUGGCUCUUGCUGCUGAACAGGUUGUGGUGCAAUGACCAGCUCCAGCGACGAGGUUGGCCGAACUCCUACUUCUGCCAACUCUGUCUCAGAAGCCUGGAGACUGCUGAUCACCUCUUCUGGUCCUGCCCAUUCGCUCAGGCUCUCUGGGCCAACCUGUCGACUUGGAAUGGCUGUGAGGCCUUGAAACUGCAAGCGGACAACGACGGCCUGGACGGAGCGGACCGCCUGCUCAAGGUUGUAGAAAGCACCAAACCUGAGCUCAGAAAGGGGAUCAAAUCCGUGACACUGCUUGCAUUGUGGGAAUUGUGGAGGCACCGAAACGACUGCACUUUCAGAGGGCACGCGGCCUCUUCGAGUGAGGUGAUAUAG